RNAcentral lists this ribosomal RNA (519 nucleotides) under Leptoxis ampla. Its description in RNAcentral is "partial 16S ribosomal RNA". It matches the Rfam family "Bacterial large subunit ribosomal RNA", at positions 1811 to 2604 of the family's 2925-position model. Lineage: Eukaryota; Metazoa; Mollusca; Gastropoda; Pleuroceridae. The record is from RNAcentral.
AAACAUGGCUCUUUGAAUUAUUUUUAUAGGGAGUCAGGCCUGCCCAGUGAAAUUUACUUUAACGGCCGCGGUACUCUGACCGUGCAAAGGUAGCAUAAUCAUUUGCCUUAUAAUUGAAGGCUAGUAUGAAUGGUUUAACGAGAGCAGCACUGUCUCUUUUUUAUUUUCAAGAACUUAACCUUUAGGUGAAGAGGCCUAAAUUUUAUUGAAGGACAAGAAGACCCUGUCGAGCUUAAAAGACACUAUAGAAGUUUAUAUAUACCUAAAUAAAUUUUCUGUUAAGCUUUUUAGUUGGGGCGACUAAGGAACAAAAAAAGCUUCUUAAGCAAAACAAACAUUCAAGUUUUGAUCCGGUGAUAGCCGAUUUAAGGAAUUAGUUACCGCAGGGAUAACAGCAUAAUCUCUCUUGAGAGACCUAAUCGAAAGAGGGGGUUGUGACCUCGAUGUUGGACUAGAAUAUCCUAAAGAUGCAGAAGUCUUUAAGGGUCGGUCUGUUCGACCGUUAAAAUUUUACGUGAU